This 65-nucleotide transfer RNA is filed under the name Leipothrix sp. 1 XFX-2017. Its description in RNAcentral is "tRNA-Ser". Lineage: Eukaryota; Metazoa; Arthropoda; Arachnida; Trombidiformes; Eriophyidae. The record is from RNAcentral.
AAAAACUCAAGGGAAAUAAUACGAAACUUCUAAUUUCAAUAAAAAAAUUUCCUUUUUAGUAAUUU